This 811-nucleotide ribosomal RNA is filed under the name Lophophyton gallinae. RNAcentral's name for it is "LSU rRNA". It matches the Rfam family "Eukaryotic large subunit ribosomal RNA", at positions 85 to 912 of the family's 3401-position model. Lineage: Eukaryota; Fungi; Ascomycota; Eurotiomycetes; Onygenales; Arthrodermataceae. The record is from RNAcentral.
AACGGCGAGUGAAGCGGCAAGAGCUCAAAUUUGAAAUCUGGCUCCCCUUGGGGGGUCCGAGUUGUAAUUUGUAGAGGAUGCUUCGGGUGUGGCCGCCGUCUAAGUUCCUUGGAACAGGACGUCACAGAGGGUGAGAAUCCCGUCUUGGGCGGCCGGUCCGCGCCCGUGUGAAGCUCCUUCGACGAGUCGAGUUGUUUGGGAAUGCAGCUCUAAGCGGGUGGUAAAUUUCAUCUAAAGCUAAAUACUGGCCGGAGACCGAUAGCGCACAAGUAGAGUGAUCGAAAGGUUAAAAGCACCUUGAAAAGGGAGUUAAACAGCACGUGAAAUUGUUGAAAGGGAAGCGCUUGCGGCCAGACUCGGGGGCGGGGUUCAGCGGGCGCUCGUCGCCCGUGCACUCCCCGUCUCCCGGGCCAGCAUCAGUUUCGACGGCCGGUCAAAGGCCCCCGGAAUGUGUCGUCUCUCGGGACGUCUUAUAGCCGGGGGUGCAAUGCGGCCCGCCGGGACUGAGGAACGCGCUUCGGCCCGGAUGCUGGCGUAAUGGCCGUAAGCGGCCCGUCUUGAAACACGGACCAAGGAGUCUAACAUCCACGCGAGUGUUCGGGUGUCAAACCCGUGCGCGCAGUGAAAGCGAACGGAGGUGGGAGCCUUAGGGCGCACCAUCGACCGAUCCUGAAGUCUUCGGAUGGAUUUGAGUAGGAGCGUGGCCGUUGGGACCCGAAAGAUGGUGAACUAUGCCUGAAUAGGGUGAAGCCAGAGGAAACUCUGGUGGAGGCUCGCAGCGGUUCUGACGUGCAAAUCGAUCGUCAAAUUU